RNAcentral lists this ribosomal RNA (515 nucleotides) under Salmonella enterica. RNAcentral describes it as "bacterial LSU rRNA". It matches the Rfam family "Bacterial large subunit ribosomal RNA", at positions 678 to 1191 of the family's 2925-position model. Lineage: Bacteria; Pseudomonadati; Pseudomonadota; Gammaproteobacteria; Enterobacterales; Enterobacteriaceae. The record is from RNAcentral. RNAcentral also lists the same sequence under 2 other names.
CGAGUCUUAAUUGGGCGUUAAGUUGCAGGGUAUAGACCCGAAACCCGGUGAUCUAGCCAUGGGCAGGUUGAAGGUUGGGUAACACUAACUGGAGGACCGAACCGACUAAUGUUGAAAAAUUAGCGGAUGACCUGUGGCUGGGGGUGAAAGGCCAAUCAAACCGGGAGAUAGCUGGUUCUCCCCGAAAGCUAUUUAGGUAGCGCCUCGUGAAUUCAUCUCCGGGGGUAGAGCACUGUUUCGGCUAGGGGGCCAUCCCGGCUUACCAACCCGAUGCAAACUGCGAAUACCGGAGAAUGUUAUCACGGGAGACACACGGCGGGUGCUAACGUCCGUCGUGAAGAGGGAAACAACCCAGACCGCCAGCUAAGGUCCCAAAGUCAUGGUUAAGUGGGAAACGAUGUGGGAAGGCCCAGACAGCCAGGAUGUUGGCUUAGAAGCAGCCAUCAUUUAAAGAAAGCGUAAUAGCUCACUGGUCGAGUCGGCCUGCGCGGAAGAUGUAACGGGGCUAAACCAUG